AGAGUUUGAUCCUGGCUCAGGAUGAACGCUGGCGGCGUGCCUAAUACAUGCAAGUCGAGCGAACGGACGAGAAGCUUGCUUUUCUGAUGUUAGCGGCGGACGGGUGAGUAACACGUGGAUAACCUACCUAUAAGACUGGGAUAACUUCGGGAAACCGGAGCUAAUACCGGAUAAUAUUUUGAACCGCAUGGUUCAAAAGUGAAAGACGGUCUUGCUGUCACUUAUAGAUGGAUCCGCGCUUCAUUAGCUAGUUGGUAAGGUAACGGCUUACCAAGGCAACGAUGCAUAGCCGACCUGAGAGGGUGAUCGGCCACACUGGAACUGAGACACGGUCCAGACUCCUACGGGAGGCAGCAGUAGGGAAUCUUCCGCAAUGGGCGAAAGCCUGACGGAGCAACGCCGCGUGAGUGAUGAAGGUCUUCGGAUCGUAAAACUCUGUUAUUAGGGAAGAACAUAUGUGUAAGUAACUGUGCACAUCUUGACGGUACCUAAUCAGAAAGCCACGGCUAACUACGUGCCAGCAGCCGCGGUAAUACGUAGGUGGCAAGCGUUAUCCGGAAUUAUUGGGCGUAAAGCGCGCGUAGGCGGUUUUUUAAGUCUGAUGUGAAAGCCCACGGCUCAACCGUGGAGGGUCAUUGGAAACUGGAAAACUUGAGUGCAGAAGAGGAAAGUGGAAUUCCAUGUGUAGCGGUGAAAUGCGCAGAGAUAUGGAGGAACACCAGUGGCGAAGGCGACUUUCUGGUCUGUAACUGACGCUGAUGUGCGAAAGCGUGGGGAUCAAACAGGAUUAGAUACCCUGGUAGUCCACGCCGUAAACGAUGAGUGCUAAGUGUUAGGGGGUUUCCGCCCCUUAGUGCUGCAGCUAACGCAUUAAGCACUCCGCCUGGGGAGUACGACCGCAAGGUUGAAACUCAAAGGAAUUGACGGGGACCCGCACAAGCGGUGGAGCAUGUGGUUUAAUUCGAAGCAACGCGAAGAACCUUACCAAAUCUUGACAUCCUUUGACAACUCUAGAGAUAGAGCCUUCCCCUUCGGGGGACAAAGUGACAGGUGGUGCAUGGUUGUCGUCAGCUCGUGUCGUGAGAUGUUGGGUUAAGUCCCGCAACGAGCGCAACCCUUAAGCUUAGUUGCCAUCAUUAAGUUGGGCACUCUAAGUUGACUGCCGGUGACAAACCGGAGGAAGGUGGGGAUGACGUCAAAUCAUCAUGCCCCUUAUGAUUUGGGCUACACACGUGCUACAAUGGACAAUACAAAGGGCAGCGAAACCGCGAGGUCAAGCAAAUCCCAUAAAGUUGUUCUCAGUUCGGAUUGUAGUCUGCAACUCGACUACAUGAAGCUGGAAUCGCUAGUAAUCGUAGAUCAGCAUGCUACGGUGAAUACGUUCCCGGGUCUUGUACACACCGCCCGUCACACCACGAGAGUUUGUAACACCCGAAGCCGGUGGAGUAACCUUUUAGGAGCUAGCCGUCGAAGGUGGGACAAAUGAUUGGGGUGAAGUCGUAACAAGGUAGCCGUAUCGGAAGGUGCGGCUGGAUCACCU
RNAcentral lists this ribosomal RNA (1540 nucleotides) under Staphylococcus aureus T92889. Its description in RNAcentral is "16S ribosomal RNA". It matches the Rfam family "Bacterial small subunit ribosomal RNA". Lineage: Bacteria; Bacillati; Bacillota; Bacilli; Caryophanales; Staphylococcaceae. RNAcentral also lists the same sequence under 1 other name. The record is from RNAcentral.